AACGUAGGACACAAGCGUUAUCCGGAGUUACUGGGCGUAAAGGGCGUGUAGGCGGAUCGGUAAGUCUACUCUGAAAGCUCCUGGCUAAACUGGGAGAGGCGAGUGGAGACUGUCGGUCUAGAGUGAGGAAGAGGAAAGUGGAAUUCCACGUGUAGCGGUAGAAAUGCGUAGAGAGUGUGGAGGAACACCAGUGGCGAAGGCGACUUUCUGGCCUAUAACUGA
This 222-nucleotide ribosomal RNA is filed under the name uncultured bacterium. RNAcentral's name for it is "partial 16S ribosomal RNA". It matches the Rfam family "Bacterial small subunit ribosomal RNA", at positions 524 to 743 of the family's 1533-position model. The record is from RNAcentral.